Molecule: ribosomal RNA, 463 nt
Filed under: uncultured bacterium
Lineage: Bacteria
Description: bacterial SSU rRNA
Rfam family: Bacterial small subunit ribosomal RNA
Source: RNAcentral
UGCCAGACUCCUACGGGAGGCAGCAGUGGGGAAUAUUGCACAAUGGGGGGAACCCUGAUGCAGCGACGCCGCGUGGGUGAAGGAGCACCUCGGUGCGUAAAGCCCUAUCGGCAGGGGAGAAAAGCGAACAGGUUCGCCUGGACGGUACCUGACUAAGAAGCCCCGGCUAACUACGUGCCACCAGCCGCGGGAAUACGUAGGGGGCAAGCGGUAUCCGGAUUCACUGGGUGUAAAGGGAGCGUAGACGGCGACGCAAGUCUGGAGUGAAAGCCCGGGGCCCAACCCCGGGACUGCUCUGGAAACUGUGCGGCUAGAGUACUGGAGGGGCAGGCGGAAUUCCUAGUGUAGCGGUGAAAUGCGUAGAUAUUAGGAGGAACACCAGUGGCGAAGGCGGCCUGCUGGACAGUAACUGACGUUGAGGCUCGAAAGCGUGGGGAGCAAACAGGAUUAGAUACCCGAGUAC